GAUGAACGCUGGCGGCGUGCUUAACACAUGCAAGUCGAACGAAGCAUUCUAACGGAACAUUUUCGGAUGGGAAGCUAAAAUGACUGAGUGGCGGACGGGUGAGUAACGCGUGGAUAACCUACCAUAUACAGGGGGACAACAGUUGGAAACGACUGAUAAUAACGCAUAAGCGCACAGUGCCGCAUGGCACGGUGUGAAAAACUCCGGUGGUAUAUGAUGGAUCCGCGUCUGAUUAGCUAGUUGGUGAGGUAAUGGCCAACCAAGGCAACGAUCAGUAGCCGACCUGAGAGGGUGACCGGCCACAUUGGGACUGAGACACGGCCCAAACUCCUACGGGAGGCAGCAGUGGGGAAUAUUGCACAAUGGGCGAAAGCCUGAUGCAGCGACGCCGCGUGAGCGAAGAAGUAUUUCGGUAUGUAAAGCUCUAUCAGCAGGGAAGAAAAUGACGGUACCUGACUAAGAAGCCCCGGCUAACUACGUGCCAGCCGCCGCCGUAA
This 497-nucleotide ribosomal RNA is filed under the name uncultured bacterium. Its description in RNAcentral is "partial 16S ribosomal RNA". It matches the Rfam family "Bacterial small subunit ribosomal RNA", at positions 28 to 523 of the family's 1533-position model. The record is from RNAcentral.